This 454-nucleotide ribosomal RNA is filed under the name uncultured Chloroflexota bacterium. Its description in RNAcentral is "bacterial SSU rRNA". It matches the Rfam family "Bacterial small subunit ribosomal RNA", at positions 356 to 827 of the family's 1533-position model. The record is from RNAcentral. Lineage: Bacteria; Bacillati; Chloroflexota.
AAGGAAUAUUGCGCAAUGGGCGAAAGCCUGACGCAGCAACGCCGCGUGGGCGAUGAAGGCUUCGGGUWGUAAACCCCUUUUCUSAGGGAAGAGUAAUGACGGUACCCGAGGAAUAAGUCCCGGCUAACUACGUGCCAGCAGCCGCGGUAAUACGUAGGGGGCGAGCGUUAUCCGGAUUUACUGGGCGUAAAGMGCGYGUAGGCGGUCCUUUAAGUCGGAUGUGAAAUCUCCCGGCUUAACUGGGAGGGGUCAUUCGAUACUGWUGGACUUGAGUGCAGGAGAGGGAGGUGGAAUUCCCGGUGUAGUGGUGAAAUGCGUAGAUAUCGGGAGGAACACCAGUGGCGAAGGCGGCCUCCUGGCCUGWUACUGACGCUGAGGCGCGAAAGCUWGGGGAGCAAACAGGAUUAGAUACCCUGGUAGUCCUMGCUGUAAACGAUGGAUACUAGGUGUGGGG